This 535-nucleotide ribosomal RNA is filed under the name Pisaster ochraceus (purple sea star). RNAcentral's name for it is "eukaryotic LSU rRNA". It matches the Rfam family "Eukaryotic large subunit ribosomal RNA", at positions 2376 to 2883 of the family's 3401-position model. Lineage: Eukaryota; Metazoa; Echinodermata; Asteroidea; Forcipulatida; Asteriidae. The record is from RNAcentral.
GGAACGGGCUUGGCAGAAUCAGCGGGGAAAGAAGACCCUGUUGAGCUUGACUCUAGUCUGACCUUGUGAAGAGACACGGGGGGUGUAGGAUAGGUGGGAGGCCGGGCUCGCCCCGGUUCGCCGGUGAAAUACCACUACUCUCGUCGUUUCUUUACUUAUUCGGUGAGGCGGGAAGCGGGCCCCUCGCGGGCCCAGUCUUCUGGCGCUAAGCGCCCGGCCGCCUCGCGGUGAGCCGGGCGCGACCCGCUCCGACGACAGCGUCAGGCGGGGAGUUUGACUGGGGCGGUACAUCUGUCAAAUGGUAACGCAGGUGUCCUAAGGCGAGCUCAGCGAGGACGGAAACCUCGCGUAGAGCAAAAGGGCAAAAGCUCGUUUGAUUUUGAUUUUCAGUAUGAAUACAGACCGUGAAAGCGUGGCCUAUCGAUCCUUUUGACCUUCGGGGUUUGAAGCAAGAGGUGUCAGAAAAGUUACCACAGGGAUAACUGGCUUGUGGCAGCCAAGCGUUCAUAGCGACGUUGCUUUUGAUCCUUCGAUG